ACCUGCCCAAGAGACUGGGAUAACACCUGGAAACAGAUGCUAAUACCGGAUAACAACACUAGACGCAUGUCUAGAGUUUGAAAGAUGGUUCUGCUAUCACUCUUGGAUGGACCUGCGGUGCAUUAGCUAGUUGGUAAGGUAACGGCUUACCAAGGCAAUGAUGCAUAGCCGAGUUGAGAGACUGAUCGGCCACAUUGGGACUGAGACACGGCCCAAACUCCUACGGGAGGCAGCAGUAGGGAAUCUUCCACAAUGGACGAAAGUCUGAUGGAGCAACGCCGCGUGAGUGAAGAAGGGUUUCGGCUCGUAAAGCUCUGUUGGUAGUGAAGAAAGAUAGAGGUAGUAACUGGCCUUUAUUUGACGGUAAUUACUUAGAAAGUCACGGCUAACUACGUGCCAGCAGCCGCGGUAAUACGUAGGUGGCAAGCGUUGUCCGGAUUUAUUGGGCGUAAAGCGAGUGCAGGCGGUUCAAUAAGUCUGAUGUGAAAGCCUUCGGCUCAACCGGAGAAUUGCAUCAGAAACUGUUGAACUUGAGUGCAGAAGAGGAGAGUGGAACUCCAUGUGUAGCGGUGGAAUGCGUAGAUAUAUGGAAGAACACCAGUGGCGAAGGCGGCUCUCUGGUCUGCAACUGACGC
Molecule: ribosomal RNA, 635 nt
Filed under: uncultured bacterium
Lineage: Bacteria
Description: bacterial SSU rRNA
Rfam family: Bacterial small subunit ribosomal RNA
Source: RNAcentral